Non-coding RNA from Populus trichocarpa (black cottonwood), 152 nucleotides. Lineage: Eukaryota; Viridiplantae; Streptophyta; Magnoliopsida; Malpighiales; Salicaceae. The record is from Rfam.
AUCUUUGCGCUUGGGGCAAUGACGCAGCUAGUGAGGUUCUAACCGAGGCGCGUCAAUUGCUGGUUGAAAACUAUUUCCAAACCCCCUCUUAGGCCUGGGUUUGGCCCAGUGCCUUCGAGAAUUUCUGGAAGGGCUCCCUUCGGGGUAAAGCC